This 253-nucleotide ribosomal RNA is filed under the name uncultured bacterium. Its description in RNAcentral is "partial 16S ribosomal RNA". It matches the Rfam family "Bacterial small subunit ribosomal RNA", at positions 524 to 776 of the family's 1533-position model. The record is from RNAcentral.
UACAGGGGGGGUAAGCGUUGUUCGGAAUUACUGGGCGUAAAGGGUUCGUAGGUGGCUUGCUAAGUCGGACGUGAAAUCCCUCAGCUUAACUGGGGAACUGCGUCUGAUACUGGCGAGCUUGAGUGCAGGAGAGGAACGCGGAAUUCCAGGUGUAGCGGUGAAAUGCGUAGAUAUCUGGAGGAACACCGGUGGCGAAGGCGGCAUUCUGGACCAAUACUGACGCUGAGGAGCGAAAGCCAGGGGAGCAAACGGG